GUUCAUGGCAUGCCGUUCGCGCUGCGGUUCUGGUUUGUCCUGCGACUGUCUGUAGUCUGUACUACCCAGGCAUGUACAGUGCACACCACAUCGGCGUCCUGUGCCACUUCCCGUAGUUCGCAACUUCGCAGAGGAUGCUUGCUUGGAAAAUUUGCUUAAGAUAAUCCAUUGUUUUCGAAUUUUUUGAAACCAUAAUUCAAAAUUAGAUUGUUCAUUGUAGUAUUUUGCGAUUGUAUUAUUUUGCGUGGAACGGCAUCUGAUCCGAUAGUUACGUUAUUUUCGGUGCGUUUAAUUGCUACCUUGUGCAGGUUCGCCCUGUUUUGACUCCUACGAUGGCUCCGAGAGCGCCUGGAAUACCCCUUAAUGCCAUUUACGGAAUUGUCACGGCGGCCCUUGGUGCUACUUUCUACCUGAUGUGGCGCCAGGAGAUGGGAACAGUUCAGAAGCAUGUCGAUUUUAUGAGGUCCAAAAAUCAGCUUGGCGAGCAGGGCUUACUAACAACCGAGAAUACCCACGUGGAGACCAGCAAAGACGGAAGACAUAUCGUGAAACCUGGCCGCGAUGUGAAUGCACUGUAAUUCUGGGCUCCUCAUGAUUUUCGGAAUGGAGACCAUCAGCUGAUAGGACUGCAUGCAGUCCUGCAAUUGGGUGUGUGUUACGUAAAAAAAGUUUCGCUAUAUUUCGGAUACGUUCUAUCCCGUGCUUUGCAUUUUAGUUGACGACUGCUGUUAGUGUUGUUUUGAGUCGGGUUCGUGUAUUUGCACGUUCAGUAAGUAAUAAAUUAUCCAGAAAUGCUCCUGG
Paramacrobiotus metropolitanus is the source of this 801-nucleotide long non-coding RNA. RefSeq lists it as uncharacterized. The record is from RefSeq and is a predicted model, not a curated record. The transcript is spliced from 2 exons. Lineage: Eukaryota; Metazoa; Tardigrada; Eutardigrada; Parachela; Macrobiotidae.